AGGCCACACAUAAUAGAGGACACACUGUUGACCUACUGAUCUCCAAGGGCCUGAGCAUUUCAAAGGUUACUGUGUCUGAUGUGGGCCUGUCUGAUCAUUACUGUGUUUUCUUUGAAAGUAAAAUUUCAGACCACACAAAUAUGUCAACAGCAGUGAUCACAAAGCGGUGUAUAACUGAAUACAGUAGUGAGAUCUUUAACCAGGUCUUCCCUUUAAGACCUGGCCUGUCCAGAGGUUCAGUCAAUGAGCUCGUCAAUAGCUUCAAUGCUAAAAUGUUAAAGGUUAUGGACACUAUUGCGAGGCCCCGCUGCACUUUUUCGGAGCUGCCCUCAGAUUCAGACCUCAGCACCACCCAGUGACAGCAGACAGAUCAUCCAACAUGUUAACUGCAAAAUGAACUGAUGAAAACAGUACAAAGGUUAAAGUAUCACACGUGCUGUAGUGAAAGCUGCAGCUUUAUUGAUAAAGUUAAAGACAAAAAAACAAAAGGAUUAAUCACUCAUGUAACUGUGUCACUAUAUAUCAGCAUUAACAGGACCUCAGUUUGGUGUUUCACAAAGCUGCUGAUCUCAGACCUGCACAGCUUCCGAUUUAAACACUUGAUGUACUCAGCUGCAUGAAGAGCAUAUGAGAUUUUCUCGGACACAAUUAAAUAAAACCUGAUGAAGGUCAAAGGUCGUCACUUGUAUGUUGAACUACAAACUUGUCAUCUGGAAUUCUUUCACAGUUUUUUGCAGAUAAUGUGUUAUUUACUUUAAAGUGAUUCAGAGUUAUUCAUACCAGAGUAACCAGAGAGGAUCACAUAUUUUUAAAUAUAUAACUUUCUACAGGACUGAAUAUAAUAUCUUUAUGUAAAAGUCCGGAGCCUCUGGGGAGUAUCCGAGUAUUUAUAACAUUACACAAACCAAAGGUCUCCAUCACAGUGUUCAUGAAAUGCUGGAUUUAUCCAUCUCCUGGAUCGGGCCUACGGAGGAGUGCUGAAGAUUUCCCUGUGAGGGAGCUGCUGGUGAAGAUCAUGAGUCCUGCUUGAUCAAUGCGA
Oreochromis aureus is the source of this 1039-nucleotide long non-coding RNA. The record is from Ensembl. Lineage: Eukaryota; Metazoa; Chordata; Actinopteri; Cichliformes; Cichlidae.